UGACAAAAACACCAUUAAAGUUUGUGGAUUUUGUAUUUAUUUACUGUACAAUUUAUGUCCAUUCACCACAUCAUCUAUUGAUGACAUCCAUCAUUGGCUUUAAUAACAUGAGUUUAUUCCAUUAUGUGUCGGCUUGUAUGUCCACUUCCUUUUUUAGGUGACCAUCACUGUGAUGAUUCCUGUGAGACGGCCAAACUCAAUGCCCCCUUUGGCUCCUCUAUGCACCUCGGCUGCAUGUUUGAAAACUUGCCCUUGAGCUCCUCCUCACGCCCACGCUCGGUGUUGUGGCUCCACAAUGCUAAGUCCAGAUUGGUCAACGUCUCGUCCACAGGAAAUAUUCAAUUCCUGGACCCCAGGGAUGGCCGGGUGAAAGCCUUUCCCAUCCAGAGCUCUCAAGGGGACUACUCCAUCCGCAUCGAUGAGCUGCAGGAGUCUGACCUGGGGUGUUAUCGCUGUGUGCAGGGUGGCCGAUGUCUCCAAGUGGAAGUUACUGAAAAAGGUGGACUGAGUGAAGAGAUGUGGCUAGUCAUUUACGCCGCUACGGCUUUAGCAAUCUUCAUCUUGAUCCUGGGUGUCUGCAGCUACUGCUGUGUGAAAAGUUCAUGUUGCUGGGAUCAAAGUACACCAGACUACGUGAACAAUGUCAGCCAUACAGUUGUCUUUCCUCCACCUGAGGAAACAAGCAGAGGCACAGGAAGUGAACAGCAGAGAGGAGCUGAAAAUAAUCUACUUAUUUAUGAAAAUGAUGAACAUGACCCGGCCCUACAUCAGAAUGUCCAAACCAGAUAUCACCAUGAUCUGAGUGGAAUCCAGCCCGAUCCAGACAGAGGCCAAUCUCCUGCCAGGAUGGAGAGUCAGAGGAAAAAACAGGGAUUUCACAGAGAGCUGUUCACCAGAUUACGGCAAGCAAGUCUAAGUCGUCAUUAUUAUGUUAACCAAGUUGAACUGACACAGCAAGCUACAUCAUCUCGAAUGGAGAAUCAUCACCGAGCGAGUUUCUGGAGGAAGAAAGCCAAGACAAAACACGAAUACAAAAACCCGAUUUACAACAACAGCACCGACCAGCUCAACAGACUGUAGAGAACCAAGGCCAAAGAAGAAGCCGCUGCUGAGGCAUUUUCAGUAAAUGGAUCCAGCUACAGAGCUAUUUAUUCAUUGUUUAUUUUACAGUUGAGAAAAGUGCUUUUAGAUCAGGUUGUGAUUGAUUCAUUGUGUCUCAGUAUUGUAAAUAACUGCACAUCGCUUGCACAAUUUUAGGCUUUUAAAUGCAUAUCCAAAAAUGUGAUUACCGUCCCUGCAGUGUUAUACAAUCCCACAGAGAUUUUCUGUAUGAAUGCACCUGUGAGAUGGAAGAGUAUUUGGACUUGAUAAAUCAAUGAUCAUGUUUUUUAUAAGCGUCAGAUUGGAUUGCUGAAUUACAUGCAAACAAGGGUUAGACACACACAACGCCCUCUCUGCAGAACCGACCAGAUCUUCUGUCUAAUAUGCUCUCCAGUGUUCAUUUUUAAUAUUGAAUGAUGC
Molecule: long non-coding RNA, 1521 nt
Filed under: Myripristis murdjan (pinecone soldierfish)
Lineage: Eukaryota; Metazoa; Chordata; Actinopteri; Holocentriformes; Holocentridae
Description: lncRNA (ENSMMDG00005002256.1)
Source: RNAcentral